CCAGAUGGCUGGAUGGCUGCCUUUCGGCAAUGGGGAAACCCGCCGAGGGGAGGAAAGUCCGGGCUCCAUGGGAACACGAUGCCGGGUAACGCCCGGCGGGGGCAACCCCAGGGAAAGUGCCACAGAAAGCAAACCGCCCGGCCAUGGCCGGGUAAGGGUGAAAGGGUGCGGUAAGAGCGCACCGCGGUCUUGGCAACAAGACCGGCACGGCAAACCCCAUCGGGAGCAAGACCGAGUAGGGAUGGCGUAUGGCGGGUUUCCACGCUGCUAUCCGGGUAGGUCGCGCGAGGUGUCUGGUAACAGGCGCCCCAGAUGAAUGGUCAUCCGUCUCCUUAGGAGACGACAGAACCCGGCUUACAGGUCAUCUGGUGCU
RNAcentral lists this RNase P RNA (373 nucleotides) under Rhodospirillaceae bacterium. RNAcentral's name for it is "RNase P RNA component class A". It matches the Rfam family "Bacterial RNase P class A". From Rfam's summary of the family: Ribonuclease P (RNase P) is a ubiquitous endoribonuclease, found in archaea, bacteria and eukarya as well as chloroplasts and mitochondria. Its best characterised activity is the generation of mature 5'-ends of tRNAs by cleaving the 5'-leader elements of precursor-tRNAs. The record is from RNAcentral. Lineage: Bacteria; Pseudomonadati; Pseudomonadota; Alphaproteobacteria; Rhodospirillales; Rhodospirillaceae.